UUCAGAGGUCCCGAGCGUUGUUCGGAUUUACUGGGCGUAAAGGGAGCGUAGGCGGUUCGGUAUGUCGAAUGUGAAAGCCCACAACUCAACUGUGGAAAUGCAUUCGAAACUGCCGGGCUAGAGUACUGGAGAGGAGAGCGGAAUUCUUGGUGUAGCGGUGAAAUGCGUAGAUAUCAAGAGGAACACCGGUGGCGAAGGCGGCUCUCUGGACGGCAACUGACGUUGAGGCUCGAAAGCGUGGGGAGCAAACAGGAUUAGAUACCCUGGUA
RNAcentral lists this ribosomal RNA (269 nucleotides) under uncultured prokaryote. Its description in RNAcentral is "partial 16S ribosomal RNA". It matches the Rfam family "Bacterial small subunit ribosomal RNA", at positions 524 to 792 of the family's 1533-position model. The record is from RNAcentral.